GACGAACGCUGGCGGCGUGCUUAACACAUGCAAGUCGAGCGGUAAGGCCCUUUCGGGGGUACACGAGCGGCGAACGGGUGAGUAACACGUGGGUGACCUGCCCUCAGCUCUGGGAUAAGCCUGGGAAACCGGGUCUAAUACUGGAUAUGACUCCAUGACGCAUGUUGUGGGGUGGAAAGCCUUGUGCGGCUGAGGAUGGGCCCGCGGCCUAUCAGCUUGUUGGUGGGGUGANGGCCUACCAAGGCGACGACGGGUAGCCGGCCUGAGAGGGCGACCGGCACACUGGGACUGAGACACGGCCCAGACUCC
This 309-nucleotide ribosomal RNA is filed under the name uncultured bacterium. RNAcentral's name for it is "bacterial SSU rRNA". It matches the Rfam family "Bacterial small subunit ribosomal RNA", at positions 28 to 339 of the family's 1533-position model. The record is from RNAcentral.